RNAcentral lists this ribosomal RNA (1949 nucleotides) under human gut metagenome. RNAcentral's name for it is "bacterial LSU rRNA". It matches the Rfam family "Bacterial large subunit ribosomal RNA", at positions 3 to 1991 of the family's 2925-position model. The record is from RNAcentral.
UUAAGUUAGAAAGAGCGCAGGGUGGAUGCCUUGGCACUGAGAGCCGAUGAAAGACGUGAUAAGCUGCGAUAAGCUGCGGCAAGAAGCAAAUAUUCAAUGAACCGCAGAUUUCUGAAUGGGGAAACCUGGCUGAGCAAACCUCAGUCGUCCUAUACUGAAUACAUAGGUAUAGGUCGGGAACCUCCUGAACUGAAACAUCUAAGUAGGGAGAGGAAGAGAAAGAAACAUCGAUUCUGUUAGUAGCGGCGAGCGAAAGCGGAAGAGCCCAAACCGGAGUGCGUGCACUCCGGGGUAUGGACUGCAACAUGGCAGUGUGAUUGAUAGCAGAAGGGUCUGGGAAGUCCCGCCAAAGAGAGUGAAAGCCUCGUAUGCGAAAUCAUGAGCGCGCCUAGCAGAAUCCGGAGUACCACGAGACACGAGAAACCUUGUGGGAAGGCGGAGGGACCACCCUCCAAGGCUAAAUACUACUCAGUGACCGAUAGCGCAUAGUACUGUGAAGGAAAGGUGAAAAGGACCCCGGGAGGGGAGUGAAAGAGAACCUGAAACCCUGUGUUUACAAGCUGUGGAACUACGUUAAGGUAGGACCGCGUACUUUUUGUAGAACGGUCCGGCGAGUUUCUUGUACCGGCAAGGUUAAGCACUUAAGGUGCGGAGCCGAAGUGAAAGCAAGUGUUAAUAGCACGCAUAAGUCAGUACAAGAAGACCCGAAACCGGGUGAUCUACCCAUGUCCAGGUUGAAGUCGCCGUAAAAGGCGAUGGAGGACCGAACGCACAUCCGUUGAAAAGGGUGGCGAUGAGGUGUGGGUAGGGGAGAAAUUCCAAUCGAACCCGGAGAUAGCUGGUUCUCCUCGAAAUAGCUUUAGGGCUAGCCUCGUAUUAGUCUUGCGGAGGUAGAGCACUGAAUAUCCUAGGGGGCGUCAAAGCUUACCGAAGAUUAUCAAACUCCGAAUGCCGCGUAGAUGAUGUACGGGAGUCAGACUGCACGAGAUAAGUUGGGUAGUCAAAAGGGAAAGAGCCCAGACCACCAGCUAAGGUCCCAAAGUGCGUGUUAAGUGGUAAAGGAUGUGGGAUUUCGAAGACAACUAGGAUGUUGGCUCAGAAGCAGCCAUACAUUCAAAGAGUGCGUAAUAGCUCACUAGUCGAGAGGUCCUGCGCCGAAAAUGUCCGGGGCUAAAACACGACACCGAAGCUGUGGAUCCGAAAGGAUGGUAGAGGAGCAUUCUUAAGUCGAUGAAGCUGUACUGUAAGGAGCAGUGGAGAGUUAAGAAGAGAGAAUGCCGGAAUGAGUAGCGAGAUUUAAGUGAGAAUCUUAAAGGCCGAAUAUCUAAGGUUUCCAGGGUAAAGCUGAUCUUCCCUGGGUAAGUCGGGGCCUAAGGCGAGGGCGAGAGCCGUAGUCGAUGGAUAACAGGUUGAAAUUCCUGUACUGCUUAUGGACAGAACUGUGGGGACGCAGAAGGAGAGCACGAGCCGGAAAUGGAAAAGCCGGUACAAGCGUAUAGCAGUCAUGCAGGCAAAACCGCAUGAAAAAUGUAAAGCGUUAUGUGGAUCGAACAUUAGUAGAGAAGCGUGUGAGCCAGCUGCCAAGAAAAGCCGCUAUUGCUUCAUAAGUACCCGUACCGUAAACCGACACAGGUGGAUGAGGAGAGAAUCCUAAGGCCGGCGGGAGAAGUGUUGUUAAGGAACUCGGCAAAAUGACUCCGUAACUUCGGGAGAAGGAGUGCCACAGAGAUGUGGCCGCAGAGAAAUGGCCCAAGCAACUGUUUAGCAAAAACACAGGUCUAUGCAAAACCGAAAGGUGAGGUAUAUGGGCUGACGCCUGCCCGGUGCUGGAAGGUUAAGAGGAGAGGUUAGAGCAAUCGAAGCUUUGAAUUUAAGCCCCAGUAAACGGCGGCCGUAACUAUAACGGUCCUAAGGUAGCGAAAUUCCUUGUCGGGUAAGUUCCGACCCGC